RNAcentral lists this ribosomal RNA (465 nucleotides) under Vreelandella stevensii. Its description in RNAcentral is "partial 16S ribosomal RNA". It matches the Rfam family "Bacterial small subunit ribosomal RNA", at positions 338 to 795 of the family's 1533-position model. The record is from RNAcentral. Lineage: Bacteria; Pseudomonadati; Pseudomonadota; Gammaproteobacteria; Oceanospirillales; Halomonadaceae.
CCUACGGGCGGCUGCAGUGGGGAAUAUUGGACAAUGGGGGGAACCCUGAUCCAGCCAUGCCGCGUGUGUGAAGAAGGCCCUCGGGUUGUAAAGCACUUUCAGUGAGGAAGAACGCCUGGUGGUUAAUACCCAUCAGGAAAGACAUCACUCACAGAAGAAGCACCGGCUAACUCCGUGCCAGCAGCCGCGGUAAUACGGAGGGUGCGAGCGCUAAUCGGAAUUACUGGGCGUAAAGCGCGCGUAGGUGGCUUGAUAAGCCGGUUGUGAAAGCCCCGGGCUCAACCUGGGAACGGCAUCCGGAACUGUCAAGCUAGAGUGCAGGAGAGGAAGGUAGAAUUCCCGGUGUAGCGGUGAAAUGCGUAGAGAUCGGGAGGAAUACCAGUGGCGAAGGCGGCCUUCUGGACUGACACUGACACUGAGGUGCGAAAGCGUGGGUAGCAAACAGGAUUAGAUACCCUUGUAGUC